CCCAAAAUAGACCUGAAAAUUAGUAGUAAAAAGUUACUAUUGGUAAGAAACAGCUGGGACUGGGGCCUCCUCGAAAAACCAUGAAGAUGGUCCUAGAUGUCCAUCAUGAGAUUAUGACAAUUCAACAUCAAAUUAAUGAUACCAACAUGUAAAAGACUGCAGUAGAAAGGCAGUUUGGAACCGUGAUUUCACCUUUACACAUGUUCACUCAUACUCUGCUCCUGCUGCACAAAAUAUG
This 238-nucleotide unclassified non-coding RNA is filed under the name Hevea brasiliensis (rubber tree). Lineage: Eukaryota; Viridiplantae; Streptophyta; Magnoliopsida; Malpighiales; Euphorbiaceae. The record is from RNAcentral.